RNAcentral lists this ribosomal RNA (253 nucleotides) under uncultured bacterium. RNAcentral describes it as "partial 16S ribosomal RNA". It matches the Rfam family "Bacterial small subunit ribosomal RNA", at positions 524 to 776 of the family's 1533-position model. The record is from RNAcentral.
UACGUAGGGGGCAAACGUUAUCCGGAGUUACUGGGCGUAAAGGGCGUGUAGGUGGUUUUGUAAGUCUGGCGUGAAAUUUUUCGGCUUAACCGGGAAAGGUCGUCGGAUACUGCAGGACUAGAGGACGGUAGAGGCGUGUGGAAUUCCGGGUGUAGUGGUGAAAUGCGUAGAGAUCCGGAGGAACACCAGUGGCGAAGGCGACACGCUGGGCCGUACCUGACACUGAUGCGCGACAGCAUGGGGAGCAAACAGG